This is a non-coding RNA of Arachis ipaensis, 645 nucleotides long. The record is from RefSeq and is a predicted model, not a curated record. Lineage: Eukaryota; Viridiplantae; Streptophyta; Magnoliopsida; Fabales; Fabaceae.
CUGAAACUAACCCUAGCCUCCAUCCGUCUCAUACCCUCAUUCACUGCAUCUAUCCCCUGUUUCCCCCUUUCCCUUCCCAAACGGUUACUUUGGCCAUGAGAGCUGACAGCUGAGAGAUAGAGAGUCUGCUACUCUGCUUCAGUUCGUCGCCGGCGCGGAGACCCAGCAGCCAGCAGCCAGCAGCUUCAGCCAGAGUUCGUGCGCCACUCACCACCGCGAAGAAGCAGUUGCCUCCUCGUCGCCUACUGCCUCCAGGUUGUCAGUCGUGAGUCGCCACCUCCUGUCUCCCUCUUCUCUGCUCUGCUCGUCCCUCCAUCCCUCCAGGGUCCAGCCGUCCAGCCGUCCAGGUGACUUGAUAGUAUGUCCAGAAGGAACAACUUGUAGGGAGCCAUAUCUAUUAAGAUUCAGCUUAUUGUUUGCUGAGUUGCUGAUGAAAUAGUUUCUGUGGCUAUGAAUGCUCAUGUCAGCAUGUUCUAUGGGACCACAGCGGCAGGCUUGAAGUGUUGGACCCAUCUUCUUCUUCAUGAAUCCUCGGCCAUGUUACCACAUUCACAUUAUGUUUAUUUUUAGGAUUUGAGACUUAAUGUUUAUUAAAAUGUUAUUGGAGAUAUGUUUUUUAACUGUUAAUUUUUAAGUUUUUAGCUA